This 253-nucleotide ribosomal RNA is filed under the name uncultured bacterium. RNAcentral describes it as "partial 16S ribosomal RNA". It matches the Rfam family "Bacterial small subunit ribosomal RNA", at positions 524 to 776 of the family's 1533-position model. The record is from RNAcentral.
UACGUAGGGCGCAAGCGUUAUCCGGAAUUAUUGGGCGUAAAGAGCUCGUAGGCGGUUUGUCGCGUCUGCCGUGAAAGUCCGGGGCUCAACUCCGGAUCUGCGGUGGGUACGGGCAGACUAGAGUGAUGUGGGGGAGACUGGAAUUCCUGGUGUAGCGGUGAAAUGCGCAGAUAUCAGGAGGAACACCGGUGGCGAAGGCGGCAUCCUGGACCGACACUGACGCUGAGGAGCGAAAGCCAGGGGAGCAAACGGG